Cyprinus carpio carpio is the source of this 512-nucleotide long non-coding RNA. The record is from Ensembl. NCBI's taxonomy places the organism in Eukaryota, Metazoa, Chordata, Actinopteri, Cypriniformes, Cyprinidae.
GCGGAAUCGGAUGGGAUGGGCCUCUUUUUGUGUUCCUUACAGAAAAAUGUUUCGUGCUUCUGCAUGCCGUUUUAAAGUUAACAAAAACAUUGUGGCGGGUUUUAGCAGGUCAUCAGCUUUGGGAUUCAUCAGCCGGCUCAUCUCUGCACUAUGAAGAUGGGAACAGAUGGACAGGCUGAAAAGGACGAAGGAGAAAUUGUGGCAGGCAAGUCAGAAUCUGAACAAUGUCCUGAUGAAGAGGAGGAAAUGGAGUCUAAAGCAGACAGAAGGACAGGUGGCUUAAGAUGUUUCCAAGGAAACAGAGAGACCUCGGAGGAUGAGCCUAGUGAACUGGGGGCUGCUGUUAUUACUUCCUCUGAGCCUGUAUUUCUUGUGCCUCAGCUCAGCUCACAACCUCAGUACCUGGACUGUGACUUUGAUGUGGAGCUAACAGCAGAAGUGAUAGUCGAGAAUGGCGCAUCUCUUGCUUUGUUGACAUCUGUUACCCCAAAUCUUGGUUACCAGAAGCCAGG